AACCAUAGAAACCUGCGGAGUACCUGCGGAGGGAUCAUUAUUGAAUUGCUAGUACCAAAGUACUAUUGCAAAUCCUAUUUGUCCCAACUUUAUACCCUUCAAUAAACCAAUUGAAAUUGUCUGACCAAAUGAAAUAUCCAAAAUGAAUACAACUUUUAACAACGGAUCU
RNAcentral lists this unclassified non-coding RNA (169 nucleotides) under soil metagenome. RNAcentral's name for it is "partial contains 5.8S ribosomal RNA, internal transcribed spacer 2, and large subunit ribosomal RNA". The record is from RNAcentral.